GAAAUGCGAUAAGUAAUGUGAAUUGCAGAAUUCAGUGAAUCAUCGAAUCUUUGAACGCACAUUGCGCCCCCUGGUAUUCCUAGGGGCAUGCCUGUUCGAGCGUCAUUAUGACCAAUCCCGUAAGGGGUUUUGGGGUCCGCGGUUCGCUGCGGCCCUUAAAAUCAGUGACGGCGCCAGCGGUGCUCUCAGCGUAGUAAUACUCCUCGCUUGGGAACCACGGUGGAUGCUUGCCAGCAACCAAUUUUUUUUUUAAAAGGUUGACCUCGGAUCAGGUAGGGAUACCCGCUGAACUUAA
Molecule: unclassified non-coding RNA, 295 nt
Filed under: uncultured Leotiomycetes
Lineage: Eukaryota; Fungi; Ascomycota; Leotiomycetes
Description: sequence contains ITS1
Rfam family: 5.8S ribosomal RNA (bases 1-105)
Source: RNAcentral